RNAcentral lists this long non-coding RNA (647 nucleotides) under Homo sapiens (human). RNAcentral describes it as "non-protein coding SLC26A4-AS1:10". The record is from RNAcentral. Lineage: Eukaryota; Metazoa; Chordata; Mammalia; Primates; Hominidae.
CCGAGACUGAUGGAGCCACCCUCCCACCAGAAGGGCGGCGUGGAGGACCGGAGACCGAAAGUCGGGCCUCUGGGAGAAGCAGCUGGCGCCCAGGGGCUCCGCCGCCCGCACCCCACUCUCGCCCGCUGGGGACGCCCUUCCCUCCCCAAGGCGUGGACGCCCCGCUCCGCUUCUCUCUACGCAGGCCCGCGCGGCCGCUACCUGCAGCACUUGGCCAGGCUCUCCCGCAGCGUCUUGCGCUCCUGCAGGCGCCGCUCGUGCUGUUGCUGGAAAGCGAGCUCGCUGUAGACCGGCCGCGACACCAUGUAGCUGCAGCUGUACUCGGGGAGCUGCGGCGGCUCCGACCUGCCGCCUGGCGCUGCCAUGACCUGCGAGCCAGAGGACAGCGAGGAGGGAGGACACGCGACAUGAUCUCAUUCUGUUGCCCAGGGUGAGUGCAGUGGCACCUUCAUGGCUCAUUGCAGUCUCGAUCUCCCAGGCUCAAGCGAUCCUCCCACCUCAGCCUCCCAAAGUGCUGGGAUUGCAGGCGUGAGCCACCUUGCCCAGCCCAUUCUGCAAUCUUCGGAAGGAAGUCACUAUAUGCAGCCUAUGCUUGAGGAGUGGGGAGUUGAAUUCCACAUCCUUGAGGGCAGAAUACCUAAAUAAAU